Molecule: long non-coding RNA, 618 nt
Organism: Ictalurus punctatus (channel catfish)
Lineage: Eukaryota; Metazoa; Chordata; Actinopteri; Siluriformes; Ictaluridae
Source: Ensembl
AGUGGACCUCAAGCUUGGAGAAUAGGAUGCAGCCACAAAAAGAUCAAGACGGUGUACACUGCAACAGUGUUUAAGUAGGUGGUAUGUGUCAAAGUAACAUCCACAUGAAUGCCAGGACCCAAGGUUUCCCAGCAGAACAUUUCCCAGAGCAUCACACUGCCUCUGAUGGCUUUCCUUCUUCCCAUAGUGCAUCCAGGUGCCAUCUCUUCCCCAGGUGUUUUCAGAGGUGGACAAGGGUCAGCAUGGGUACUCUGACUGGUAUGCAGCUACGCAGCCCCAUACGCUGCAAGCUGUGACGCACUGUGUGUUCUGACACUUUACUAUCAUAGCCAGCAUUAACUUUUUCAGCAAUUUGUGCUACAGUAGCUCUUCUGUUGGAUCGGACCAGACGGGCUAACCUUCACUCCCCACACACAUCACUGAGACCUGGGCGCCCAUGACCGCUUGCUAAUUCAGCAGUUGUCCUUCCUUGGACCACUUUGGUAGGUACUAAGCACUGCAUACCGGGAACACCCCACAAGUCCUGCUGUUUUGGAGAAGCUCUGGCCCAGUUGUCUAGCCAUCACAAUUUGGCCCUUGUCAAAGUCACACAGAUCCUUACACUUUUUUUCAGCUUCC